RNAcentral lists this long non-coding RNA (495 nucleotides) under Brassica napus (rape). RNAcentral describes it as "long non-coding RNA (BNAP_LNC020970)". Lineage: Eukaryota; Viridiplantae; Streptophyta; Magnoliopsida; Brassicales; Brassicaceae. The record is from RNAcentral.
UGUGUCACCAAAUACAUUAUGGAAGUUACUAAAAACAAUUGUCAACAAUCACAAUCAUUUCGAACUAUUUCAUUGACAUGAUGUUUCUAUCUUGUCCAAAAAUGACAGCCAUUUUUGUCCGAAAGUGAGAGAAGUCGGGGUAACAAAUUAAGAAGAUGGUAAAAUAUAUAACGUGGGAAAGCGAAAAGCACAUGGCCUCAUGCCUAGCUAAUGGGAAUAAACGACUCAAAGCUUUCUCCAACGACGCAUGUUUUGUUUCUAGCGACAACUAUGCCCAUGAAAGCAUAUGAUAUGUAAAUUGUGCAUAACCAUAUUGCUUCCAUCACUAGCUUAAUCUACGGCUUGUCUCUGCUACUUUUCAAAAACUGUAUGAUCUUUGUCAAAGCUGCAAUGGUUACUCACAUUUAAAUAGAAAGCUUUCAAAAAAAUAAAAUUAUGUAUAACCAUAUGGUGCACAUGUGCUCUUUCGUUAUCGCCAAUUAUUCUGCAUGCCAC